This 127-nucleotide ribosomal RNA is filed under the name Escherichia coli. Its description in RNAcentral is "partial 16S ribosomal RNA". It matches the Rfam family "Bacterial small subunit ribosomal RNA", at positions 1419 to 1533 of the family's 1533-position model. The record is from RNAcentral. Lineage: Bacteria; Pseudomonadati; Pseudomonadota; Gammaproteobacteria; Enterobacterales; Enterobacteriaceae. RNAcentral also lists the same sequence under 6 other names.
AAAAGAAGUAGGUAGCUUAACCUUCGGGAGGGCGCUUACCACUUUGUGAUUCAUGACUGGGGUGAAGUCGUAACAAGGUAACCGUAGGGGAACCUGCGGUUGGAUCACCUCCUUACCUUAAAGAAGC